Toxocara canis (dog roundworm) is the source of this 70-nucleotide transfer RNA. It matches the Rfam family "tRNA". From Rfam's summary of the family: Transfer RNA (tRNA) molecules are approximately 80 nucleotides in length. Their secondary structure includes four short double-helical elements and three loops (D, anti-codon, and T loops). The record is from Rfam. NCBI's taxonomy places the organism in Eukaryota, Metazoa, Nematoda, Chromadorea, Rhabditida, Toxocaridae.
GCCGCAGUAGCUCAGUGGUAGAGCCCUCGCAUCGCAUGCGGGGACCUGGGUUCGAUUCCCGGCUGCUUCC